RNAcentral lists this ribosomal RNA (1146 nucleotides) under Mesomycoplasma hyopneumoniae. Its description in RNAcentral is "bacterial SSU rRNA". It matches the Rfam family "Bacterial small subunit ribosomal RNA", at positions 173 to 1324 of the family's 1533-position model. Lineage: Bacteria; Bacillati; Mycoplasmatota; Mycoplasmoidales; Metamycoplasmataceae. The record is from RNAcentral.
GAUAAAAAUUUGCAUGAAUUUUUAUUCAAAGGAGCCUUCAAGCUUCACCAAGAAAUGGGGGUGCGCAACAUUAGUUAGUUGGUAGGGUAAAAGCCUACCAAGACGAUGAUGUUUAGCGGGGCCAAGAGGUUGUACCGCCACACUGGGAUUGAGAUACGGCCCAGACUCCUACGGGAGGCAGCAGUAAGGAAUAUUCCACAAUAAGCGAAAGCUUGAUGGAGCGACACAGCGUGCAGGAUGAAGUCUUUCGGGAUGUAAACUGCUGUUGUAAGGGAAGAAAAAACUAGAUAGGAAAUGCUCUAGUCUUGACGGUACCUUAUUAGAAAGCGACGGCAAACUAUGUGCCAGCAGCCGCGGUAAUACAUAGGUCGCAAGCGUUAUCCGGAAUUAUUGGGCGUAAAGCGUCCGUAGGUUUUUUGUUAAGUUUAAAGUUAAAUGCUAAAGCUCAACUUUAGUCCGCUUUAGAUACUGGCAAAAUAGAAUUAUGAAGAGGUUAGCGGAAUUCCUAGUGGAGUGGUGGAAUACGUAGAUAUUAGGAAGAACACCAAUAGGCGAAGGCAGCUAACUGGUCAUAUAUUGACACUAAGGGACGAAAGCGUGGGGAGCAAACAGGAUUAGAUACCCUGGUAGUCCACGCCGUAAACGAUGAUCAUUAGUUGGUGGCAAAAGUCACUAACACAGCUAACGCGUUAAAUGAUCCGCCUGAGUAGUAUGCUCGCAAGAGUGAAACUUAAAGGAAUUGACGGGAACCCGCACAAGCGGUGGAGCAUGUGGUUUAAUUUGAUGCUACGCGUAGAACCUUACCCACUCUUGACAUUCUCGCAAAACUAUAGAGAUAUAGCCGAGGCUAACGAGAUCACAGAUGGUGCAUGGUUGUCGUCAGCUCGUGUCGUGAGAUGUUAGGUUAAGUCCUGCAACGAGCGCAACCCUUUUCUUUAGUUGCUAACAUUUAGUUGAGAACCCUAAAGAUACUGCCGGCGCAAGCCGGAGGAAGGUGGGGAUGACGUCAAAUCAUCAUGCCUCUUACGAGUGGGGCAACACACGUGCUACAAUGGCUACUACAAAGAGCAGCAAAACAGUGAUGUCAAGCUAAUCUCAAAAAAGUAGUCUCAGUUCGGAUUGAAGUCUGCAACUCGACUUCAUGAA